GCUGACGAGUGGCGGACGGGUGAGUAAUGUCUGGGAAACUGCCUGAUGGAGGGGGAUAACUACUGGAAACGGUAGCUAAUACCGCAUAACGUCGCAAGACCAAAGAGGGGGACCUUCGGGCCUCUUGCCAUCGGAUGUGCCCAGAUGGGAUUAGCUAGUAGGUGGGGUAACGGCUCACCUAGGCGACGAUCCCUAGCUGGUCUGAGAGGAUGACCAGCCACACUGGAACUGAGACACGGUCCAGACUCCUACGGGAGGCAGCAGUGGGGAAUAUUGCACAAUGGGCGCAAG
RNAcentral lists this ribosomal RNA (291 nucleotides) under Escherichia coli. Its description in RNAcentral is "partial 16S ribosomal RNA". It matches the Rfam family "Bacterial small subunit ribosomal RNA", at positions 87 to 381 of the family's 1533-position model. Lineage: Bacteria; Pseudomonadati; Pseudomonadota; Gammaproteobacteria; Enterobacterales; Enterobacteriaceae. The record is from RNAcentral.